Vitis vinifera (wine grape) is the source of this 391-nucleotide long non-coding RNA. RefSeq lists it as uncharacterized. The transcript is spliced from 2 exons. Lineage: Eukaryota; Viridiplantae; Streptophyta; Magnoliopsida; Vitales; Vitaceae. The record is from RefSeq and is a predicted model, not a curated record.
CCUUCAGCAGCCCACGCACCCAAAUUGCUCCCCACAAGAGAAACCCUAAUGUGCGAGGGAUAUAAAUUUGGCACAGCCGCACAGCCCAACCCCUCCGCAAAACUUAAGCGUCUUCUUCUCUCAAAUUUUCUUUGUCACUGGUAUAAGAUUUUUUCACCGAGAAAGCAUCUAACUCUCAUUCUCUUUGCUCUGUUAUGUUGAUGGUAGCAGAGGGAAUACGAAGAGAUGCAGAAUCGAAUCAAACCGAGUGAUGAGGGUGAUGAGGAUGAUGUGGGCGUCCUCCAGAGGAAGGGGCAGGGGAUGGAGAAUGUGAUUGAGAAAAGACGGUGGAGAAGAUUCUAUCAGCAAGCACUGCAUUUGCCGCAUCCGAGGGAUGGAAGGCAUCCCAAAA